GAUGAAGAACGUAGCGAAAUGCGAUAAGUAGUGUGAAUUGCAGAAUUCAGUGAAUCAUCGAAUCUUUGAACGCACAUUGCGGCCAUAGGUAUUCCUUUGGCCAUGCCUGUUCGAGCGUCAUUUACACCCUCAAGCCUAGCUUGGUGUUGGGCGCCUGUCCCGCCGUUUUCGCGCGCGGACUCGCCUCAAAGUCAUUGGCGGCGGUCGUGCCGGCCCCCUCGCGCAGCACAUUUGCGCUUCUCGGAGGCCCGGCGGAUCCGCGCUCCAGCAAGACCUUUCACGACUUGACCUCGGAUCAGGUAGGGAUACCCGCUGAACUUAAGCAUAUCAAUAAGCGGAGGA
Molecule: unclassified non-coding RNA, 342 nt
Filed under: soil metagenome
Description: partial contains 5.8S ribosomal RNA, internal transcribed spacer 2, and large subunit ribosomal RNA
Rfam family: 5.8S ribosomal RNA (bases 1-120)
Source: RNAcentral